This 496-nucleotide ribosomal RNA is filed under the name uncultured bacterium. RNAcentral describes it as "partial 16S ribosomal RNA". It matches the Rfam family "Bacterial small subunit ribosomal RNA", at positions 29 to 507 of the family's 1533-position model. The record is from RNAcentral.
AUGAACGCUGGCGGCGUGCCUAAUACAUGCAAGUCGAGCGAACGGACGAGAAGCUUGCUUUUCUGAUGUUAGCGGCGGACGGGUGAGUAACACGUGGAUAACCUACCUAUAAGACUGGGAUAACUUCGGGAAACCGGAGCUAAUACCGGAUAAUAUUUUGAACCGCAUGGUUCAAAAGUGAAAGACGGUCUUGCUGUCACUUAUAGAUGGAUCCGCACUGCAUUAGCUAGUUGGUAAGGUAACGGCUUACCAAGGCAACGAUGCAUAGCCGACCUGAGAGGGUGAUCGGCCACACUGGAACUGAGACACGGUCCAGACUCCUACGGGAGGCAGCAGUAGGGAAUCUUCCGCAAUGGGCGAAAGCCUGACGGAGCAACGCCGCGUGAGUGAUGAAGGUCUUCGGAUCGUAAAACUCUGUUAUUAGGGAAGAACAUAUGUGUAAGUAACUGUGCACAUCUUGACGGUACCUAAUCAGAAAGCCACGGCUAACUACGUG